CAAGAGACUGAUGGCGAUAGUGACAGUGAUGGUGACUAUGUGCCACCAAUUUGUGUGCGAAGUGGCGGUGCCUUGGCCAACAAAAUUGACUUGAGGCAAUAUGAAGAAAUUGCCAUGGAAGACACUGUACAUGACGUAUCGGGGAUCGAUCUCGAGGAGGAGGAGGAGGAGGAAGAGGGAUCAGCAAAGCUUCCAGAUCAACGUGGACUUGAGUUCAUAGGAGAACCGGCUUCCAUUGCAUACCAUCAUUGUCUGAAAGAGUUGGCCGAAAGCCUGAUUCUGCCUAUCUCAAAGUGCAAGACUAGGGAUAAAUACAGCUCUGUUGAGUGCCAGUCACCUGGACCCUUUCGGGUGACUGUAAAAUCCAGAGCCACUGCUGCAAUUAUUGAGUGGAUUUGUCCCUUUGGCCAUGUUGUUUGGCGCUGGCGCUCUCAGCCUACUUUAAAGUAUGGCUUGCAAAUUGGCGAUUUUAUGUUGGCCACAAACAUACUUUUAUCUGGGAAUAACUAUGGGAAGGUGGCUUUGUUGUUCAAGUUUAUGAACAUUGGCAUGGUGGGGAAGAACACAUUCUUCAAAAUCCAAGACACAUACUGCGUGGACACCAUAGAAGACUUCUGGGAGGAGAAGCGGAAGGUUAUUAUAUCCCGCCUACAAAACAAACCAGAUUUAGUUGUGCUUGGU
This 681-nucleotide long non-coding RNA is filed under the name Neogobius melanostomus (round goby). Its description in RNAcentral is "lncRNA (ENSNMLG00000001971.1)". Lineage: Eukaryota; Metazoa; Chordata; Actinopteri; Gobiiformes; Gobiidae. The record is from RNAcentral.